RNAcentral lists this long non-coding RNA (1274 nucleotides) under Equus asinus (donkey). Its description in RNAcentral is "lncRNA (ENSEASG00005034508.1)". Lineage: Eukaryota; Metazoa; Chordata; Mammalia; Perissodactyla; Equidae. The record is from RNAcentral.
GUUAAUGGGCCUGCAUUUCAGAAACGAAACUCACGAGAACAGGACCUGUCUUGUAGAGGGAGAUAAGGCAAUGCUAGGAUGACCAACUGUCCAGUUUGACCCCAGACCAUCUUGGUUUAGCAUGGAAAGGCUUGUGUCCCAGGAAACCACUCAGUCCCAGGCAAACUGGAAAGUUGGUCGCCCUACUGGGCUUAGUAGGCUGGCUUAUCAUGGCAGCUUUAUUGUGCUUUGAAGUGAUUUGGUGUUUUACUUAAAUUUUAAACCCAAGAAAAGCCUCUGAGCAUAUUGUGAAAUGGCAUGUAACCACAUGUAACUGAUGACUGCCAGUUAGAACCUUCAGCUUUUCUAAAUCUCUCUUCUCACAAGUUGUGGUGGGUCAGGGUUCCUAAACUUGUCUGCACAUUGGAAUCACCUGGGGAGCUUAAAAAAAAAGAGGAAGAAAGUGAUCUCUGUGUUCUACAUCACCCAAUUGUGAGUUAAUUGGUUUAAGGUGUGACCUGGGUGCUCCUAGUUUUAAAAGGUCCCCAGACGAUUCAAAUCUACAGACAAAUCCCACCAUCAGUAUCCCUGUGGUAGAUAGUAUUCAAAGAUGGCAGCCAUGACUACCUCUCUCUUUCUGGACACAUGCCAUUCAUCAGAGACUAUUCUAAGAUGCAGGAAUAAUACCAUCUACCUGGAGGUGGCCUGGAAGACUGCACAGCUAGCUGUGUGGGUGGUGAAGCUAUUGCCAGCUCAGUUACACACUCCCUCUUGUUUACUUUCCUUUUGGUCCUGCUUCACUCUUGCUUCACUGAGAUUACAUCCCACUACCGCCACCUCCACCAAAAAUUAGCAUGCAGUCUUUUGUCUCAUCUUUUUAUGAUUAGCCCUGAGCUAACUACUGCCAAUCCUCCUCUUUUUGCUGAGGAAGCCUGACCCUGAGCUGACAUCCGUGCCCAUCUUCCUCUGCUUUAUAUGUGGGACGCCUACUGCAGCAUGGCGUGCCAAGCAGUGCCAUGUCUGCACCCAGGAUGCGAACCCUGGGCUGCUGAGAAGUAGAACGUGCCAACUUAACCACUAUGCCACCGGGCCGGCCCGUCAGGAAUUUCUUAAAGGUGUCAUUGAGUGACUAGCCUGAAGGCAUGAGCUCAGAGGGUUGGGUUUUGGGAGGGCAAGAAUAAUAUGAGAUACAGGAGCAAACCUUAUCCGUGAGGAGUUCCCUCCAUUUGCAUGUCCACGUAUAACUUUGGACAGAGUCCUAAAGGUUAAGCGAGGCCAACAAUUUACAGAAAAAA